CUUGAUGCAAGCAGCUUAGACUCAGAAGAAUGCAUCUCAGGCUGAGGAGCGCGUAUCUCAACUACAAAGCGUCACAUCCACUAUGGUGACACAGCUCUCCACUCAUCUAGGAGCUAAUUUUUCAAGCAUUCAAGACAUAUUGGCUAGCAUUCAGCUUUAGUUUCUCCAGCUCCUGCUCCAGCCCCUUUAGCUCCUGCUCCAGCCCC
Molecule: long non-coding RNA, 206 nt
Filed under: Elaeis guineensis (African oil palm)
Lineage: Eukaryota; Viridiplantae; Streptophyta; Magnoliopsida; Arecales; Arecaceae
Description: long non-coding RNA (EGUI_LNC013094)
Source: RNAcentral